AUGUAANUGAGAUAAGUCGNNACAUAGUAGAUGUACUGGAAAGUGUAUCUAGUGGUUUAC
This 60-nucleotide ribosomal RNA is filed under the name Perbrinckia integra. RNAcentral's name for it is "partial 12S ribosomal RNA". The record is from RNAcentral. Lineage: Eukaryota; Metazoa; Arthropoda; Malacostraca; Decapoda; Parathelphusidae.